CACGAAACUUGCCCCGAGAUGAGUUCUCCCUGAGACUUUAGGUCUCCUGAAGGAACGUUGAAGACGACGACGUUGAUAGGCCGGGUGUGUAAGCGCAGCGAUGCGUUGAGCUAACCGGUACUAAUGAACCGUGAGGCUUAACCUUACAACGCCGAAG
This 157-nucleotide ribosomal RNA is filed under the name Salmonella enterica subsp. enterica serovar Enteritidis. Its description in RNAcentral is "partial 23S ribosomal RNA". It matches the Rfam family "Bacterial large subunit ribosomal RNA", at positions 2786 to 2925 of the family's 2925-position model. Lineage: Bacteria; Pseudomonadati; Pseudomonadota; Gammaproteobacteria; Enterobacterales; Enterobacteriaceae. The record is from RNAcentral.